UGAGGAAUAUUGGUCAAUGGACGAGAGUCUGAACCAGCCAAAUCGCGUGAAGGAAGACUGCCCUACGGGUUGUAAACCGCUUUUGUCAGGGAAGAAACGAGCUUCUCUAAUACAGAGACUUAAUGACGGUACCUGAAGAAUAAGCACCGGUUAACUACGUGCCAGCAGCCGCGGUAAUACGUAGGGUGCAAGCGCUAAUCGGAAUUACUGGGCGUAAAGCGUGCGCAGGCGGUCUUGUAAGACAGUUGUGAAAGCCCCGGGCUUAACCUGGGAACUGCAAUUGUGACUGCAGGGCUAGAGUGUGUCAGAGGGGGGUGGAAUUCCACGUGUAGCAGUGAAAUGCGUAGAGAUGAGGAGGAACACCGAUGGCGAAGGCAGCCCCCUGGGAUAACACUGACGCUCAUGCACGAAAGCGUGGGGAGCAAACA
Molecule: ribosomal RNA, 428 nt
Filed under: uncultured bacterium
Lineage: Bacteria
Description: bacterial SSU rRNA
Rfam family: Bacterial small subunit ribosomal RNA
Source: RNAcentral